Molecule: RNase P RNA, 381 nt
Filed under: Klebsiella aerogenes
Lineage: Bacteria; Pseudomonadati; Pseudomonadota; Gammaproteobacteria; Enterobacterales; Enterobacteriaceae
Description: RNase P RNA component class A
Rfam family: Bacterial RNase P class A
About the family: Ribonuclease P (RNase P) is a ubiquitous endoribonuclease, found in archaea, bacteria and eukarya as well as chloroplasts and mitochondria. Its best characterised activity is the generation of mature 5'-ends of tRNAs by cleaving the 5'-leader elements of precursor-tRNAs.
Source: RNAcentral
GAAGCUGACCAGACAGUCGCCGCUUCGUCGUCGUCCUCUUAGGGGGAGACGGGCGGAGGGGAGGAAAGUCCGGGCUCCAUAGGGCAAGGUGCCAGGUAACGCCUGGGGGGUGUCACAGCCCACGACCAGUGCAACAGAGAGCAAACCGCCGAUGGCCCGCGCAAGCGGGAUCAGGUAAGGGUGAAAGGGUGCGGUAAGAGCGCACCGCGCGGCUGGUAACAGCCCGCGGCACGGUAAACUCCACCCGGAGCAAGGCCAAAUAGGGGUUCAUAAGGUACGGCCCGUACUGAACCCGGGUAGGCUGCUUGAGCCAGUGAGCGAUUGCUGGCCUAGAUGAAUGACUGUCCACGACAGAACCCGGCUUAUCGGUCAGUUUCACCU